This 55-nucleotide transfer RNA is filed under the name uncultured eukaryote. It matches the Rfam family "tRNA", at positions 8 to 61 of the family's 71-position model. Rfam says of the family: Transfer RNA (tRNA) molecules are approximately 80 nucleotides in length. Their secondary structure includes four short double-helical elements and three loops (D, anti-codon, and T loops). Further hydrogen bonds mediate the characteristic L-shaped molecular structure. tRNAs have two regions of fundamental functional importance: the anti-codon, which is responsible for specific mRNA codon recognition, and the 3' end, to which the tRNAs corresponding amino acid is attached (by aminoacyl-tRNA synthetases). tRNAs cope with the degeneracy of the genetic code in two manners: having more than one tRNA (with a specific anti-codon) for a particular amino acid; and 'wobble' base-pairing, i.e. permitting non-standard base-pairing at the 3rd anti-codon position. The record is from RNAcentral.
UAGUUCAAUGGUAGAGCGUCUCGCUUACAACGAGAAAGUUAGCGGUUCGAGUCCG